CACGCCGUAAACGAUGGAUACUAGGUAUAGGGGGUAUUAAAUCCCUCUGUGCCGCAGCUAACGUAAUAAGUAUCCCACCUGGGGAGUACGACCGCAAGGUUGAAACUCAAAGGAAUUGACGGGGACCCGCACAAGCAGUGGAGUAUGUGGUUUAAUUCGACGCAACGCGAAGAACCUUACCAAGGCUUGACAUAAUACUGAAUAUGGUGGAAACAUCAUAGACCUUCGGGACAGUAUUACAGGUGG
This 246-nucleotide ribosomal RNA is filed under the name uncultured Bacillota bacterium. RNAcentral's name for it is "uncultured Firmicutes bacterium partial 16S ribosomal RNA". It matches the Rfam family "Bacterial small subunit ribosomal RNA", at positions 796 to 1041 of the family's 1533-position model. The record is from RNAcentral. Lineage: Bacteria; Bacillati; Bacillota.